Molecule: non-coding RNA, 277 nt
Organism: Eimeria necatrix
Lineage: Eukaryota; Apicomplexa; Conoidasida; Eucoccidiorida; Eimeriidae
Source: Rfam
GGAACCUGCAGCUGCUGCAGCUGCUGCUGCAGCACCUGCAGCACCUGCUGCAGCUGCUACAGCACCUGCGGCAGCAGCUGCUGCUGCAGCAGUUGCGGCAGCUGCUGCUGCUGCAGCAGUUGCGGCAGCUGCUGCUGCUGCAGCAGUUGCGGCAGCUGCAGCUGCUACAGCACCUGCGGCAGCAGCUGCCGCUGCAGCAGUUGCGGCAGCUGCAGCUGCUGCAGCACCUGCGGCAGCAGCUGCUGCAGCUGAGCCUGUAGCUGCAGCAGUUGCUACU